This 245-nucleotide ribosomal RNA is filed under the name uncultured bacterium. RNAcentral describes it as "partial small subunit ribosomal RNA". It matches the Rfam family "Bacterial small subunit ribosomal RNA", at positions 26 to 285 of the family's 1533-position model. The record is from RNAcentral.
AGAAUCAACGCUGGCGGCGUGCCUAACACAUGCAAGUCGCACGAGAAAGUGGAGCAAUCCAUGAGUACAGUGGCGCACGGGUGAGUAACACGUGAAUCAUCUACCUCCGAGUGGGGAAUAACUGAGAGAAAUCUUAGCUAAUACCGCAUAACACUUACGAGUCAAAGCAGCAAUGCGCUUGGAGAGGAGUUCGCGGCCGAUUAGCUAGUUGGCGGGGUAAUGGCCCACCAAGGCGAUGAUCGGUA